Manis javanica (Malayan pangolin) is the source of this 4667-nucleotide non-coding RNA. NCBI's taxonomy places the organism in Eukaryota, Metazoa, Chordata, Mammalia, Pholidota, Manidae. The record is from RefSeq and is a predicted model, not a curated record.
UCUUAACUUUUCACGUUUGCGUGGCGCAGGUUCAGCGUGUACAAAGGGAAGCGCGUAGGGAUGACCUUCUCCCGCAUUGGCGGGUGGAAAUGGUAACUCAUGUCGUGUACGGGCGCACUAGUAAUUUAAAGUGACCCUCACGGAAUCCGGAGAGGGCUGCUUUAUAGUACUUUUAGAAAACAAGAAUGUAAACUACAUCGGCUCCCAAAAAACGCUGUCCGAUGAGCGUGUGGUUCACCGGAGUAUCGAAGGAGGGCAAAGGCUUAUGACUGGGAGUCUGGCUGCUUUCUCAAACUCAGACCAGAGCCAGUGACAGCGCCACAGCCAACUUUCAGUAAUCUGGAAAAUCCCUCGUUUGCAAAAAUAGGGCCAGAAUUUUACAGAGGGAAGUUGAUUAGGCCCGGGACUCUGUAUUCAUACGUAGUCAUCUCAGGUAGAAUCAGAGAGAACAAUCUCAUUUAGAUUUUUUCCCUCAGUGAUACUAACUAGCAAUUCCCAGAAUUUCCUCACAUUUAAAGUAAAAACAAUGAUAAUGAUUUAAAUUACUGGAGUCUAGAGUUGGAGGGAAAGGGAAUAAAUCUUGAUUUACUCUAACCAUCUGUUUUAUCCCACACUUGACCCCCUGAGAGUUAUCCCCAGAUGAGAAGUCCCAUUACCUUUUUAUUACAUAGCUCAGUUUUAAGGUUUAAUUUGUUUAAUUAUGAGAACUGUAUUGAAAUGUGCACCUGUAGAGCAGAGGGAAUUUAAAUACAUUUCAGUAUUUGUCAAUGAUUGUCAUUAAAGCAAAACAUAUUUAAAAACCUCAUUAAAACAAAAAAAGCAUUAUCAACCUUACUUAGUAAAACCUUACAUCAGUAGUUCUGAACCCUAGCUGUACAUUGGAAUCCUCUGAGGAGCUUUUAAAACAUCCUGAUGCCUGGGUCUUACCUGCAGAAACUGAUAUAAUUGAUUUGGGGUGACCCAGAUUGGUUGGAUUUUGCCCAUCUUCCAGUGAUUGCAAUGUUCAGCCCCAGCUGAGAAAUAUUAUUCACCCAAGAACGUGUAAACCUGGUGCUGGUUAAAGCACUUAACCUCUCUGUGUGUCACCUCUCUACUUUUCUGACUAGGCUGCUUCCAGGGCAACCUCCCUUGCCAAUGAUCAGGAGGGUCUUAAAAUACUAUAACAACCUAUAAUCUUUAAAAACUGAUUGAUAAUAUGCUAUUUCCCUGGUUCUUUUAAUCUAUGGUUAUGUAGGGUAGGGAAAGCUGGGUGAAUGGUGCACAGGAACUCUACUAUUUUUGCAACUUCUUGCAAGUCUUCAAUUAUUUAAUAAAAUUAAUUUGUUAUAUGCUUCAGUGAAAUCACCUAUGUUUAUAAUGACCUGAGAGUAAUACAGUUUAACUUAUUUUUAGGACUAUUAAUGCAAAUUGUUUUUCUCUUUAUAGGGUCUUCCAUCAUGCCUCUCCAAAAAGUUGACUUGGUGAUGUCUUGAUAUACAUCAUAAUAUAUAUUUAUUCUCCAAGUCCGUGAUUAAUCCAAAAAAGUUCACAAGCAUACAAAGAAGUUCUGGGAGGAGCAGGGGUUACUUGCUCUACUCUUCAUAUCUUUUCUCAGUGGACCUCCCUGCUCCCUACCUCCUGUGACCUGGUAAUCAUUUCCAGAAGAUCAGAACCACCACUCUUCCAUAGAUUUGUGCCUAUUUACCACUCCUGUCUGACUGAACCUCAGAUUAUAUCCAAGAAGUAAUAACUAUUUUCACUGUUCCUCCCUUCAGAUUCAACAAAUGUGGUUGAGGAGGCGAAAGCCACGCGAUCCUUUGCCCUUUGUUCCCCUUCUCAAUAAGGAACCUCAUAACAUUUUGCCUGCUUUGGGAUAAGCGAACUUAAACAAGGCAUUAUUAUGGCAUUUACACUUUUUAGGAGAGAAAUCAGGUGAUAACUCGCUCCCCCAGUUGUUCAAGCGCGAUCUCAGAUCUAGAGGACAGGAGUGUUUCCCGAGGGUUGUACCGCAGGAGGACGGCCCGAAGGGGGCCGGUCAGUUGGCAAGUCCGUUUCCUCUUUCAACGAACUCGCACCGUCAGACCCGUGACCUGAGUGUAUCCAACCGCCCAUCCGGGUCCGGCUGUCCUCACCGAGCCCGACGGUACUCAGCCCUGGAACAGUCGCUAUUAGCUCUGCCACUGAACACGGGAAAGACCUGGCUGGGCUGCCCUGGGAUCGGGAGGGCGAAAAGAUUUCACAACGGUCGAGAGGGCGGAGCGCGCCCACUUCGUCAUUUCUAGGAAGCCUCGAGCCUGCCAGGCCGCAGAGGCCAACAGGAAGUGCCGCUCACCGGACCAAGGGACCAAUCAUAGGAUCCUUAGAAGGGACCUUGAAAUUUCAUGUGACAUGAGUCAGUGAUUGCAGGUUAAGGGCUCAUUCUCACAAGACAGCCCCCACUUCAGAAGCCAAUUGAAAGUCCAGAUCGUUUUCCUGUGCUUCUGCCCAACUGGCUCUAAACUGGAGGUUCCUGCAGCCUCCUCCUUGGGUUUGAUUAAUUUGCAAGAGUGGCUCAGAGAACUCAGGAAACCAACUUACUCACUGGAUUACCAGCCUACUACAAAGGACAUUUAAGGAUACAAAUCAAUAGCUACAUGAAGUGAGACAUAGGGCACAGCCCCAAACAAAGGAGCUUUGUUCCUGUGGAGUUUGGGGCCUGGUGUGGUGGCAUGUGGAAAUGUUCUGGUUCACCAACCUGGAAGCUCUUAGAACCCCCUUCCUUUUUUUUAAUUUUAUGGAGACUGCAUUACACUAAACCUAAAUUACAUUAAAUUUAAAUUACAGUAAAAGGCCUUGGUUGAUAGAUUCAACCUCUAGCCUCUAUCACCUCCCCAGAAGUCACAGGGUGGGACUGAAAGUUCCUCUGAUCACAGGGUUGGGUCCCUUGGCAACCAGCUUGCAUCCAUAAGUGUGUCCAAAAGUCACCUCAUUGACAAAACAGAAGACACCUGUACUGCUCAUUGUUAAGGAAAUUCCAAGGCAUUUAGGAACUCUGUGCCAGGAAUGAAGAAAGACCAAAUACGUAUUUCUUUUUUUUUUUUAUUUCUUACUAUAAAUCACAACAGCAUAGCAGGGAUUAGGGAGAAGAUUAAUUUACAUUUAUGCCCCAUUAAGCAGAGAUAAAUUGGUCCCCAAAAUAUAUAAUAAGAAUGCUAUUUUUACAUAUGUAAUUUUUAUUUUCCUAAUUCCUGUUCUUCCUCCACCCUAACCACUAAGGCUUAUUUCCCAGGGAGGGAAAGGACAGUAUCAAAGAAGUUCUGAAGGAAAUUGUGACACUGUUUCCCAUCUAAUGGAAAGAGAAAGUAGGUAACACGUCUAGUUUCUGGGAAGCUCUGUGUGCAGUGGGGGUGGGAAGGAGAGAGAGACAGACACAGACGAGCACACACACUCAACACCCAAGACAGAGAGAGAGAGGAGGGGGCAGGAGGAGGAAGGGAGCAGAGCGGUGAAAUAAGAGGACUCUGAUUUUCUCCUCAUACCUUCAUAGCGAAAGGAGAGAGGGACUUAAGAAUAACCAUAUAGUUUUUUGGGGUAUUCCCAGAGUAGUUUUGUUUUUAGUGUUCCUAGAGAGAGAACAGGAAAAUCUCAAGCCUUCUAACAGAAUCACUAUAUCCAGUAUGGUACAAUCCAGGUAGCAAAGUAGAAACGGCUGAAGGGAGCACCUCAGCAUAGAGAGGGACAAACACAGAGUCCCAGGGUUCCUUGGCUUCUGAGUGAUACGCAAGGAUCCGGAAGUUCUCACGGGUCCUGAUACAGCAGUUGACAGGCGCCUGUUAGGACUGUGACAGCAACAGAAAGGAUGGCCCCAAGCACACCUCUCUCAUGUACUGCUGGAAGAUGAUGUGGAAAGUGACUCGGAGGCCGUAAGGGCCAGCCUGGGCUAAGGUGGAGCCAGUUAACAGAGGAAAAGAGCCCGAGAUCCCCAGCUUUGCCAGAAGAACCGCCCACGAAUGUCACCAGCAGGGUAUGACGAGGUGGUGAGGAGGUCAGCUCGGGCCAAUUAUCCCCCCUCAGAUGCCCUCAGAGAUAUGUAAUCUCUGCCUUACUUUCAAGUCCCCAUUUUGGGAAGGAGGAACAAGAGAGAUUAGAGGGAGUUUGAACUUUGAACUGACUGUGUAUUUAUCUGGAUAGGAUUGUUUAACCAAAGUAACAGAUUGAUUCCUAAGUGCAAGCUUGUACCUCCUCUUCUCACCCCAUUUUACCACCUUACAAAGUGGGAAUGAGGGUAUGUUAGCUAGCUUGGGCUGCCAUAAGAAAAUAAUAAAAUAACAUAGACUGGGUUUAAGCCACUAGCAACUCUGUUCUCCCAAUUCAAGAGGUUGACAGUCCAAGACCAAGGAAGGGGCCGGCAGAUUUGAUUUCUGUUGAGCACCUCCUCCCUGGCUUGUAGACAGCCUCCUCCUCACUUCUCAUGUCCUCACAUGGUGGGGAGAGAGCGAGCUUUGGUGUUUCUUCCUCUUCUUGUAAGGAUGAUAAUCCCAUUAUAGGGGCCCCAUCCUUUCGACCUCAUCUAAACCUAAUGAACCCCCAAAGGCUGCACCUCCAACACCGUUACAGUGGGGGUUCAGGCUUUACCAAAUCAAUUCUGGGGAACACAGUUCAGUCCAUAGCAGGCGGGUUGCAAGGAAGUUGAUGUCAUUCAUAGAAAA